AGAGCGAAACCGGGAAGAAGCUCUGUGCCUGUGGGGAACCCGCCGCCAUCUCAGUUCUCUUGGCCUAGCCAGUGCCCACCGGAGAAAGAUCUGACGCCCAGGUCCUGUAAUCCUUAUGGGGGACCAUCCUUGUACCUCCGGGAGAUCCACGCUCCCACCUGGAAACACACGGGAAGCCAAGCCUCCAAAAAAGCGCUGCCUCCUUGCUCCCCGGUGGGAUUAUCCGGAAGGAACCCCGAACGGUGGUAGUACCUCUCUCCCCUCUGCACCUCCUCCUGCAUCACCCAGCCUGAAGUCGCACCCGCCUCCUCCGGAGAAGUAGUAGAAUAUACUUCAUCCACCCCAAACCAGACACUGAGGGAUAGCGGUAUGACUCUGUUUCCUUGGUGCAUUCGUAAAAUAGUUAACCCAGUGAAGACAAUGAAGAACAUUGAUAAUGCUAUCCUGCUUUUUCUGAUAUCCUGCACCGGGAAGUUGUGGUUUUUAAGCUACACAGAUUUCACAAAGAUGUCUGGACAUAUAUGGGAUUCCUUCAGCAGCUGCAGCCUGGGCUGUCUUCCUCUUGACUGUGUGUAGUUCCUUCAGGACUUCAGAAGCUGAAUUAAUCUAACCCCACAACUGUAGGCCAUACAUUUUUAAGAGUUCACAGGGUCAAUGGGACAUAAGAUUAUUACAGUACCAGCCUCACAUCCAAAAAACUAGGAAGCACACUAAUACCCACCCAGUAGAACAUAUAUCCCAAGCAAAUUUAUGUCCCCAGGGGUUAUUACAUAGUGUAAAACAGACCCACAUUGCUGUUGUCAGUCAAAUAACUCAUCAGACUUAGUGGCAUCAAGAGGAAGAAAAAUACAUAGAGAAAACAUGGGUGAAAAGAGAAUAUCUUCUUGGUUUCAACCUCAGCAGGAUGCCAGUCUGUGUCAGUAGUCUGGACUUUGUGACCUGUGAACUUAAACUAAUUUACAAGAUAUUUCCAAGUGGUUGAUUGUAUUGUCCUGAGUUUCAGACCCAAACCUGCAGGAGUCCAGGGCCUGUCUGUUACUGCUAAUGGGACUUUCAUCAGAAACCCAAUGAGGAACCAUUGGCUUUGUCCAGAGCUCCUCUCCAAAACCAUGCUUAUUUUUCAAAAUUUCUUUCCUAGUCUUAGAAUAACCUUCACUAAUGUUUUCAAUAGUGGAAGGUACAAGGCCCAUUCCUCUACUUAUUCUUCUGCUACAGUAGGGCUCAGCCUUUUCCUCACAUGAGUUUCAUAGGGCUAGCCAAGAAACAGAAUAAAAUUGAAAAACAAAA
Manis pentadactyla (Chinese pangolin) is the source of this 1287-nucleotide RNA transcript. It is a transcript of the gene named negative regulator of P-body association, with no coding region annotated. The transcript has 3 exons. NCBI's taxonomy places the organism in Eukaryota, Metazoa, Chordata, Mammalia, Pholidota, Manidae. The record is from RefSeq and is a predicted model, not a curated record.